CUACGGGAUGCUGCAGUGAGGAAUAUUGCGCAAUGGGGGAAACCCUGACGCAGCGACGCCGCGUGGAUGAUGAAGGCCUUCGGGUCGUAAAAUCCUGUCAGAAGGAAAGAAGUGUAUGGUAGCUAAUAUCUGCCAUACUUGACGGUACCUUCAAAGGAAGCACCGGCUAACUCCGUGCCAGCAGCCGCGGUAAUACGGAGGGUGCAAGCGUUGUUCGGAAUUACUGGGCGUAGAGCGCGCGUAGGCGGUUUUAUAAGUCAGAUGUGAAAGGCCACGGCUCAACCAUGGAAGUGCAUUUGAAACUGUAAGACUUGAGUAUUGGAGGGGGUAGUGGAAUUCCCGGUGUAGAGGUGAAAUUCGUAGAUAUCGGGAGGAAUACCGGUGGCGAAGGCGACUAUCUGGCCAAAUACUGACGCUGAGGUGCGAAAGCGUGGGGAGCAAACAGGAUUAGAUACCCUAGUAGUC
This 465-nucleotide ribosomal RNA is filed under the name uncultured bacterium. RNAcentral describes it as "partial 16S ribosomal RNA". It matches the Rfam family "Bacterial small subunit ribosomal RNA", at positions 339 to 795 of the family's 1533-position model. The record is from RNAcentral.